UCUUUGAUGGUCUAGCGGUCAUGAUUUCCGCUUGUCAGUCUUCACUGCGCGGGAGACCGGGGUUCGACUCCCCGUCAGAGAG
RNAcentral lists this transfer RNA (82 nucleotides) under Blumeria hordei DH14. Its description in RNAcentral is "tRNA-Asp for anticodon GUC". It matches the Rfam family "tRNA". Rfam says of the family: Transfer RNA (tRNA) molecules are approximately 80 nucleotides in length. The record is from RNAcentral. Lineage: Eukaryota; Fungi; Ascomycota; Leotiomycetes; Helotiales; Erysiphaceae.